Gasterosteus aculeatus aculeatus (three-spined stickleback) is the source of this 1683-nucleotide long non-coding RNA. NCBI's taxonomy places the organism in Eukaryota, Metazoa, Chordata, Actinopteri, Perciformes, Gasterosteidae. The record is from Ensembl.
GUAGUUGUAACGAGUGUAGUAACGAGUGUAGUAAUGAGUGUAGUUGUAACGAGUGUAGUAACGAGUGUAGUAACGAGUGUAGUUACGAGUGUAGUAAUGAGUGUAGUUGUAACGAGUGUAGUAACGAGUGUCUCUGAGCAAGACACUGUACGUGUGUGAAGGAGACAGACAACAAAACGCCCCUAAAGCUGCCAAUCAAAAACAAUGCAACGUUAAAAAGCAGCGUCUGGCGUUGCACAACAUGCAAAACCUCCAGAUACCGAUGAGUAUUUGUAGCGCUCACAGUGCAGAGACACAGCGGACAGAAGAUCAGAGAGACCUGAAUCCACUGCAGGCAGAGCCUCCCGUCAACAGUCAUGUCAGCCAACUCUUCCUCCUUCAACUUGUCUGCAGACCUGCAGAUCUGCAUCGACAGCACAUCCUGCGCCUCCGGCAUGAUCGCUUUCACCGUCUGCAGCCUCCUGCUGGUCCUCCCUCCCUGCGUCUACGUCGUCUACCUGGGACUCAAACAACGGCGCUCCGGCACGGCGGCGAGCCACUCCGACGUCUUCACCUACCACGUGCAUGAACAUGUGCGGCCAGCAGCUGUUUCACUCUCUGACCUGUGUGGAGCGCUACCUGGCCGUCGUUCACCCCGUCACCUACCUGGGCCUGAAGAACCAGAAGGGCGUCAGAGUCAGAAACGUCUCCAUCGGAUGUGUUUGGCUGCUGUGCUUCGCAUACAUAAGUACACUAUUUUUGGGGACCUUUUUUUCCUCAUACAUCCUCUCCUUUUGCGUCACAUUGUUUAACUUCGUCCUCAUCUCCUUCUGCAGCCUUUCUGUUCUCUGUGUUCUGAUCGGUCCAGGGCCGGGGACGGGGCCCGGGGGGGGGAGCAGGCAGCGGGUCGACCAAUUAAAGAUGAGAGCGUUCUACACCAUCACGGUCAUACUGGGGGUACUGUUGCUGAAGCUUGGGGGGUCUACAGCUAACUUUGUCAUAUAUUCCUUAAAAGACCUGACGCGGUCUGAUGGUUGGAUUGUGUGGUUGUGUUUGACCUGGUUGUCUCUGCCCAGCAGUCUCCUGCUGCCGCUGCUCUUUCUUCACAGGGACGGAAAACUUGUGUGUCGCAAGACCGUCGAGGACUGAGGACACGGGUCAGAUUAGGUGGUGAUCUUCUUUCGGCUGUGUGUCUUGGUUCUUUGUUGGAAUGUGAUCCUCCUCGUUGGCAAACGUCUUGAUCCAGACAAGCAACAUUUGUUCUAUUGAACAGUCACAGGGGAUUUAAUCAGAAUAAAAUAUGAAACAAGUUAGCAAAAGGCUGGACUAAAGUCUCCUUUACGGCCUCUUUUUGUCUUAAAAUAACAAAUGACCUUCUGAGACUGACAGGUGUGAUUUGAAUGAACACCGGUUUUAAGUUACAGAUCAUGUGAAUCCAGUCUCACCUCCACGUAAAAUACAAAAAUACAAAAACAGGCUCAUUCCCAAUAAUGAAAUACACGAUGCAAGUACAUAUUUAAUAUGAAAGUAUAUUUAAUGUCCUGUAGGCUGGUAUUGUCUUGUGUGCCUGAAGAAAACGUAGUUCCCUGAAAUGUAUUUGCAUGUAUAAUCCUAAAAUAUAGUGGUUGCAGUUUUUAUGUGCAUUAACACAAACAUUCACAAUGUUUGUUUUUUUAAAUGACUGAAUAAAUCAUCAUUAUCGGC